This 469-nucleotide ribosomal RNA is filed under the name uncultured bacterium. Its description in RNAcentral is "partial 16S ribosomal RNA". It matches the Rfam family "Bacterial small subunit ribosomal RNA", at positions 27 to 507 of the family's 1533-position model. The record is from RNAcentral.
GGACGAACGCUGGCGGCGUGCUUAACACAUGCAAGUCGAACGGAAAGGCCCUGCUUUUGUGGGGUGCUCGAGUGGCGAACGGGUGAGUAACACGUGAGUAACCUGCCCUUGACUUUGGGAUAACUUCAGGAAACUGGGGCUAAUACCGGAUAGGAGCUCCUGCUGCCUGGUGGGGGUUGGAAAGUUUCGGCGGUUGGGGAUGGACUCGCGGCUUAUCAGCUUGUUGGUGGGGUAGUGGCUUACCAAGGCUUUGACGGGUAGCCGGCCUGAGAGGGUGACCGGACACAUUGGGACUGAGAUACGGCCCAGACUCCUACGGGAGGCAGCAGUGGGGAAUAUUGCACAAUGGGCGGAAGCCUGAUGCAGCAACGCCGCGUGCGGGAUGACGGCCUUCGGGUUGUAAACCGCUUUCGCCUGUGACGAAGCGUGAGUGACGGUAAUGGGUAAAGAAGCACCGGCUAACUACGUG